Molecule: microRNA precursor, 102 nt
Filed under: Marmota monax (woodchuck)
Lineage: Eukaryota; Metazoa; Chordata; Mammalia; Rodentia; Sciuridae
Source: RNAcentral
AGUAGGAUAGCUGGGUCAAAUGGUGGUCCCAUUCCAAGUUUUUUGAGAAAUAUCCAUACUGUUUCCACAGUGGUUGUACCAAUUUGUAGUUCCAUCAGCAAU